UACGUAGGUGGCAAGCGUUGUCCGGAAUUAUUGGGCGUAAAGCGCGCGCAGGCGGUCCUUUAAGUCUGAUGUGAAAGCCCACGGCUCAACCGUGGAAGGUCAUUGGAAACUGGAGGACUUGAGUACAGAAGAGGAAAGCGGAAUUCCACGUGUAGCGGUGAAAUGCGUAGAGAUGUGGAGGAACACCAGUGGCGAAGGCGGCAUCCUGGACCGGUAUUGACGCUGAGGCGCGAAAGCCAGGGGAGCAAACGGG
This 253-nucleotide ribosomal RNA is filed under the name uncultured bacterium. RNAcentral describes it as "partial 16S ribosomal RNA". It matches the Rfam family "Bacterial small subunit ribosomal RNA", at positions 524 to 776 of the family's 1533-position model. The record is from RNAcentral.